Molecule: ribosomal RNA, 506 nt
Filed under: uncultured bacterium
Lineage: Bacteria
Description: partial 16S ribosomal RNA
Rfam family: Bacterial small subunit ribosomal RNA
Source: RNAcentral
AGUGAACGCUGGCGGUAGGCCUAACACAUGCAAGUCGAACGGCAGCACAGAGGAGCUUGCUCCUUGGGUGGCGAGUGGCGGACGGGUGAGGAAUACAUCGGAAUCUACUCUGUCGUGGGGGAUAACGUAGGGAAACUUACGCUAAUACCGCAUACGACCUACGGGUGAAAGCAGGGGAUCUUCGGACCUUGCGCGAUUGAAUGAGCCGAGGUGGGAUUAGGUUGUUGGCGGGGUAAAGGCCCACCAAGGCGACGAUCCGUGGCUGGUCUGAGAGGAUGAUCAGCCACACUGGAACUGAGACACGGUCCAGACUCCUACGGGAGGCAGCAGUGGGGAAUAUUGGACAAUGGGCGCAAGCCUGAUCCAGCCAUACCGCGUGGGUGAAGAAGGCCUUCGGGUUGUAAAGCCCUUUUGUUGGGAAAGAAAUCCAUCUGGUUAAUACCCGGGUGGGAUGACGGUACCCAAAGAAUAAGCACCGGCUAACUUCGUGCCAGCCGCCGCAGUAA